This 490-nucleotide ribosomal RNA is filed under the name uncultured bacterium. RNAcentral describes it as "partial 16S ribosomal RNA". It matches the Rfam family "Bacterial small subunit ribosomal RNA", at positions 28 to 507 of the family's 1533-position model. The record is from RNAcentral.
GAUGAACGCUAGCUCCAGGCUUAACACAUGCAAGUCGAGGGGCAGCAUGGUCUUAGCUUGCUAAGGCCGAUGGCGACCGGCGCACGGGUGAGUAACACGUAUCCAACCUGCCGUCUACUCUUGGACAGCCUUCUGAAAGGAAGAUUAAUACAAGAUGGCAUCAUGAGUUCACAUGUUCACAUGAUUAAAGGUAUUCCGGUAGACGAUGGGGAUGCGUUCCAUUAGAUAGUAGGCGGGGUAACGGCCCACCUAGUCUUCGAUGGAUAGGGGUUCUGAGAGGAAGGUCCCCCACAUUGGAACUGAGACACGGUCCAAACUCCUACGGGAGGCAGCAGUGAGGAAUAUUGGUCAAUGGGCGAGAGCCUGAACCAGCCAAGUAGCGUGAAGGAUGACUGCCCUAUGGGUUGUAAACUUCUUUUAUAAAGGAAUAAAGUCGGGUAUGUAUACCCGUUUGCAUGUACUUUAUGAAUAAGGAUCGGCUAACUCCGUG